AAUAGAUACCCGGGUAGUCCACGCCGUAAACGAUGAGUGCUAAGUGUUAGAGGGUUUCCGCCCUUUAGUGCUGCAGCUAACGCAUUAAGCACUCCGCCUGGGGAGUACGGUCGCAAGACUGAAACUCAAAGGAAUUGACGGGGGCCCGCACAAGCAGUGGAGCAUGUGGUUUAAUUCGAAGCAACGCGAAGAACCUUACCAGGUCUUGACAUCCUCUGACAACUCUAGAGAUAGAGCGUUCCCCUUCGGGGGACAGAGUGACAGGUGGUGCAUGGUUGUCGUCAGCUCGUGUCGUGAGAUGUUGGGUUAAGUCCCGCAACGAGCGCAACCCUUGAUCUUAGUUGCCAGCAUUUAGUUGGGCACUCUAAGGUGACUGCCGGUGACAAACCGGAGGAAGGUGGGGAUGACGUCAAAUCAUCAUGCCCCUUAUGACCUGGGCUACACACGUGCUACAAUGGAUGGUACAAAGGGCUGCAAGACCGCGAGGUCAAGCCAAUCCCAAUAAAACCAUUCUCAGUUCGGAUUGU
This 527-nucleotide ribosomal RNA is filed under the name uncultured bacterium. RNAcentral describes it as "bacterial SSU rRNA". It matches the Rfam family "Bacterial small subunit ribosomal RNA", at positions 777 to 1301 of the family's 1533-position model. The record is from RNAcentral.